Small nucleolar RNA from Pseudoliparis swirei, 135 nucleotides. RefSeq annotates it as small nucleolar RNA SNORA15. Lineage: Eukaryota; Metazoa; Chordata; Actinopteri; Perciformes; Liparidae. The transcript has a single exon. The record is from RefSeq and is a predicted model, not a curated record.
GCGCGGCGAAUUCUGUUUUACUCUUGAAGUAGUAAAUGCAGUCAGACACCGUGCAAAAUUAUUGUUUUCACACACUGACUCCAGGAUCAGAGUGCUAAUGCCGUGCCUCAUUCUUACGUCAGAGUGAAUACAGAA